Hermetia illucens (black soldier fly) is the source of this 716-nucleotide long non-coding RNA. RefSeq lists it as uncharacterized. The transcript has 2 exons. NCBI's taxonomy places the organism in Eukaryota, Metazoa, Arthropoda, Insecta, Diptera, Stratiomyidae. The record is from RefSeq and is a predicted model, not a curated record.
CUGUGGUGUCUUAUCAUUCUUCUAACCCCGAUCAACUCUAUAAAAACGUCGCUUAGGAUAGUAAUUGUCAUUCUAAUUGCAAAUUCGUGAAGUCUUACAUUACAGGAAUGGAACUCAAAACAAUAGUGUGCCUGUUCAGUUUUCAGGUACUUCUUUUGCAUCCAAGUCAAGCAGCCGACUCAGGCUAUGCAUGCAGUAGCACAGGCACUUCAACAUUGCCUAUAAGUUUUGAUCCACAUCUCUACCAAAUAUGUGUGAACGGGACAAGCCAUCAACUUCGGUGCCCUGCCUCCUAUUUGUAUAUCACUAGCAAUGCGGACCUUUGCACUGACAAUUUUUACAUUGGCUGUAGUACCAGUAUAGAAGGUUGCGCUCCUUGCGAAUAUUUUCCAAACAAUCCUGGAACGGCGACUCCUCCUCAAUGUGUUGGAAAUGCACUCUUGAUUGGUCAACCACAUUGCGAUCCCUCUUUCUAUUGGCAUUGCAGUAGUCCUUAUGGAACUCCGGAGCUAAGAAGCUGUCCUGAAGGCCAAGGCUUUUCGAGUUCAACGAGGUAUACUGGCUGUGUUCCAUGGUUUAUGUGGAAUUCUUAAUUUGGUUGCAGUCGUAGCAACUCUUGUAUAACCACAACUUUCCGUAAAACAAUCUAAACGUUUAAUUAUACAUUAUGUUUUUAUUAGAGUGAAAUAUAAAUUCACAACAUAUUGUUACAUAAA